This 439-nucleotide ribosomal RNA is filed under the name uncultured bacterium. Its description in RNAcentral is "partial 16S ribosomal RNA". It matches the Rfam family "Bacterial small subunit ribosomal RNA", at positions 339 to 795 of the family's 1533-position model. The record is from RNAcentral.
CUACGGGACGCUCCAGUGAGGAAUAUUGCACAAUGGGGGGAACCCUGAUGCAGCAACGCCGCGUGGAGGAUGACGCAUUUCGGUGUGUAAACUCCUUUUAUAUGUCAAGAAAAUGACGGUAGCAUAUGAAUAAGCACCGGCUAACUCCGUGCCAGCAGCCGCGGUAAUACGGAGGGUGCAAGCGUUACUCGGAAUCACUGGGCGUAAAGGACGCGUAGGCGGGUUGGAAAGUCAGGUGUGAAAUCCUACAGCUUAACUGUAGAACUGCACUUGAAACUUCUAAUCUAGAGUAUGGGAGGGGGAGAUGGAAUUAGUGGCGUAGGGGUAAAAUCCGUAGAUAUCACUAGGAAUACCUAAAGCGAAGGCGAUCUCCUGGAACAUUACUGACGCUAAGGCGUGAAAGCGUGGGGAGCAAACAGGAUUAGAUACCCCGGUAGUC